GUAGUCCGCUACGAGCGCACCCUUGUCCUUAGUUGCCAGCACGUUAUGGUGGGCACUCUAAGGAGACUGCCGGUGACAAACCGGAGGAAGGUGGGGAUGACGUCAAGUCAUCAUGGCCCUUACGGCCAGGGCUACACACGUGCUACAAUGGUCGGUACAGAGGGUUGCCAACCCGCGAGGUGGAGCUAAUCCCAUAAAACCGAUCGUAGUCCGGAUUGGAGUCUGCAACUCGACUCCAUGAAGUCGGAAUCGCUAGUAAUCGUGGAUCAGAAUGCCACGGUGAAUACGUUCCCGGGCCUU
This 300-nucleotide ribosomal RNA is filed under the name uncultured bacterium. RNAcentral describes it as "bacterial SSU rRNA". It matches the Rfam family "Bacterial small subunit ribosomal RNA", at positions 1081 to 1382 of the family's 1533-position model. The record is from RNAcentral.